UAGCUCAAAAUUAUCAUUAAUUUAUUUAAUUAGUUUAUUUGUUGAAAAUACAAUUUUAAAUUCUUUUCGCUAGUUCGGGACUUGGUUUCCCUCACGCUAAGAUGGGGUAACACCUUUGUUGGAUUUGGGUUUGCGGGGGGGCUGGAAGAGUGCGAGUCUUGCACGUCUUUGUCUGGGAACGCAGGCGUGACCGCGUUUCAGCCAGGCCAGCUGACACGUUGUUUGCUGCAGUUCCAGAGAAACGCGGCGCAGACUUGUUUGUCGUUUUUUUUUGAGGCCAGCUGAGAGCGCAGAUUGUGCGCAGUCGCCGUGCGCAGGCGAGUGUCGCAAUCUAGCGGCCGGUUUUCUGACUACGUGGGCAACCUGGCGCGGCCGACCGCGCGGCCGGCUUGUUGUAAUAACUUUACGUGUUUGUAAAACACAGGAAAACUUCCCGUCAGGAUGUUUUCCCCGUAGGGGUUUUGCGGCCAAGAAAAUAGCUUAAAAGAGAUGUAAAAUGUUUUCGCGGGGCGGUAAUCCUGUGGAAGGCUGUCAUGCUGCCCGGCCGCGCGGCGACUUGGUAAUGGUUAGUUAAUCCCGCAAAGCCCUAGUCGCGAAGCCACGCAACUGCAGAUCGGGCUUGGUGCUCGUCUCGCGGAACGAGUGGUCGCGGCGCACGCGCUGCAGUUGGCGCGGUCUGCUCCACGGCGGCGUGUACGUGGGGUUCCUGCGGCUGGAAGCUGCCUGGUUCACGACGAGCCGGUUUACACUGCGGCAUUUCGCUGGGCCCGUAGCAGCUCAUCUCUGAAACCCAUUCUCCUGGUGCAAGAACUGUAUGAGUUGGUGACGUCACAGUCGACUGCAGCUCUUGAGGCCGGAGUGCGGCGGCGCCAGGAGGCAGCGGCCGCCGGCACCGCCCAGACGGACACCUGGGCAUCAUGAACCCACACACCGGUGACCGGCGGGGUACAGCAGGGCGAGUAGCCACACCACCUCCAAGGCGAGUGCAACUCUGCAGUUAGUGCUGCUCACUCGCCAGCGAGUCACGGACAGCUGAUGUUCGUGGCCAGCCCUACCCGAUCAUUUCGUCAUCUUUGACAUAUUGUUUGUACCCUACAACGUCAUAGAAGCAAAUUAAUUUAAAAAAGUACCCUUUUUAAAGAGCUCUGUCGGACUGGUGUGCGAUAUAGCGAUAUAGCAACCGAUUAAAAAUAAUCAACAACAGGGGAGGUUUGUGAGGGUGGUCACACUGUCGUAAGGCGGUCGCUUAUGAACCAAAUAUUUUGAUUACUGAGCGCAGGUCUCCCAGCACUGCUUGCCUCUUGUAUGUGAACUCGGCCAAAUAACUAAUGAUUAGUGCCGUCCUGAUGCGUUGGGGAAAUACACUCUCUUCGUGUUGCGAUCUGCAACCCUUAGAAAAUUAAAAGUCCUCACCAACAUUCUCACUUGUUCGGGAUAUUUGUCAGGUGUCUCCUCAGUUGGGGAUAUGGAUGGUGUCUCAUGCUGUUGACAGGGUGGACAUUGAAUUGAUUCCUUCUCAACUAUGUGUACUGGUGGCUGUCGUCAUCGGACAGCAAGCCUCCACGCCACGGUGCACACUGGCCAACCCACCGACCUUGAGAUAUAUAGACUGUUCAUCGUCCUGUUGCUCUCGGGCCAUUUGCUGCUGUCGACGGCAGACUGGGGAACUACAAUCCGAGCGAGAGCGAUAAUAGAGAUGUUUUGACAGCUUGGUGGGCAUAACAAAGCUGCAAUAGCGUUGGUACUUAUCAUGGAAGCUUUAAGUAGCUACUAAAACCCCUUAAAAUGUAGGUUUUUCGUAAUUUUACAGUUUUUGCAGAUGAUGCAUAAAGACGGAACGAGUGACAAUUAAUGUUAGAAAUACAGUUUCGUUAUAGUGCGAUGAGUAAGUACGCUGUUUAAUGCGCUUGAGAAUUCGCUAAGUUUUCUUCGAACCAACGUUUCUGACCAACUUGUAGAUUAGUUAUUAAACCGACUUCGUUUAUUUAAGGUAGGUAA
Bacillus rossius redtenbacheri is the source of this 1998-nucleotide long non-coding RNA. RefSeq lists it as uncharacterized. NCBI's taxonomy places the organism in Eukaryota, Metazoa, Arthropoda, Insecta, Phasmatodea, Bacillidae. The transcript has 3 exons. The record is from RefSeq and is a predicted model, not a curated record.